This 205-nucleotide ribosomal RNA is filed under the name uncultured bacterium. Its description in RNAcentral is "partial 16S ribosomal RNA". It matches the Rfam family "Bacterial small subunit ribosomal RNA", at positions 568 to 774 of the family's 1533-position model. The record is from RNAcentral.
UGCGCAGGCGGUUAUAUAAGACAGAUGUGAAAUCCCCGGGCUCAACCUGGGAACUGCCUUUGUGACUGUAUAGCUAGAGUACGGCAGAGGGGGAUGGAAUUCCGCGUGUAGCAGUGAAAUGCGUAGAUAUGCGGAGGAACACCGAUGGCGAAGGCAAUCCCCUGGGCCUGUACUGACGCUCAUGCACGAAAGCUGGGAGCAAACA